This 433-nucleotide ribosomal RNA is filed under the name uncultured bacterium. Its description in RNAcentral is "partial 16S ribosomal RNA". It matches the Rfam family "Bacterial small subunit ribosomal RNA", at positions 29 to 507 of the family's 1533-position model. The record is from RNAcentral.
AACGAACGCUGGCGGCAUGCCUAACACAUGCAAGUCGAACGAGACCUUCGGGUCUAGUGGCGCACGGGUGCGUAACGCGUGGGAACCUGCCCUUAGGUUCGGAAUAACUCCCCGACAGGGGUGCUAAUACCGGAUAAUGUCUUCGGACCAAAGAUUUAUCGCCUUUGGAUGGGCCCGCGUUGGAUUAGCUAGUUGGUAGGGUAAAAGCCUACCAAGGCGACGAUCCAUAGCUGGUCUGAGAGGAUGAUCAGCCACACUGGGACUGAGACACGGCCCAGACUCCUACGGGAGGCAGCAGUGGGGAAUAUUGGACAAUGGGCGAAAGCCUGAUCCAGCAAUGCCGCGUGAGUGAUGAAGGCCUUAGGGCUGUAAAGCUCUUUUACCCGGGAUGAUAAUGACAGUACCGGGAGAAUAAGCGCCGGCUAACUCCGUG